RNAcentral lists this ribosomal RNA (501 nucleotides) under Phomopsis sp. FLS-2010. RNAcentral describes it as "eukaryotic LSU rRNA". The stretch from base 176 to 329 matches the Rfam family "5.8S ribosomal RNA". The record is from RNAcentral. RNAcentral also lists the same sequence under 1 other name. Lineage: Eukaryota; Fungi; Ascomycota; Sordariomycetes; Diaporthales; Diaporthaceae.
GUGGAACGCGCCCCAGGCGCACCCAAAAACCCUUGGGAAUUUAUCCCUUACUGUUGCCUCGGCGUAUGCUGGCCCCAAGGGGUCCUUCUCGUCUCGAGAGGAGCAGGCCCGCCGGGGGCCAAGUUAACUCUUGUUUUUACCCUGAACUCUGGAAAAAAAAACCAAAAUGAAUCAAAACUUUCAACAACGGAUCUCUUGGUUCUGGCAUCGAUGAAGAACGCAGCGAAAUGCGAUAAGUAAUGUGAAUUGCAGAAUUCAGUGAAUCAUCGAAUCUUUGAACGCACAUUGCGCCCUCCGGUAUUCCGGAGGGCAUGCCUGUUCGAGCGUCAUUUCAACCCUCAAGCCUGGCUUGGUGUUGGGGCACUGCCUGUAAAAAGGGCAGGCCCUCAAAUCUAGUGGCGAGCUCGCCAGGACCCCGAGCGUAGUAGUUAAACCCUCGCUUUGGAAGGCCCUGGCGGUGCCCUGCCGUUAAACCCCCAAAUCUUUGAAAAUUUGACCUCG